UACAGAGGUCUCAAGCGUUGUUCGGAUUCAUUGGGCGUAAAGGGUGCGUAGGCGGCGUGGUAAGUCGGGUGUGAAAUCUCGGAGCUUAACUCCGAAACUGCAUUCGAUACUGCCGUGCUUGAGGACUGGAGAGGAGACUGGAAUUUACGGUGUAGCGGUGAAAUGCGUAGAUAUCGUAAGGAAGACCAGUGGCGAAGGCGGGUCUCUGGGCCACUACUGACGCUGAGAAGCGAAAGCAUGGGGAGCAAACAGG
Molecule: ribosomal RNA, 253 nt
Filed under: uncultured bacterium
Lineage: Bacteria
Description: partial 16S ribosomal RNA
Rfam family: Bacterial small subunit ribosomal RNA
Source: RNAcentral